Molecule: long non-coding RNA, 238 nt
Filed under: Elaeis guineensis (African oil palm)
Lineage: Eukaryota; Viridiplantae; Streptophyta; Magnoliopsida; Arecales; Arecaceae
Description: long non-coding RNA (EGUI_LNC059455)
Source: RNAcentral
AAGCAUCAAUAUGCACUUGAUCAACAUCGUGUCAAUUUCUAUAGUAAGCCUUGUGGAUAGCACAACAAGCUCACUAAGAUCUUGACAUAUUCUAUCGACCAAGUUUAAAGGAAAGCUCUUGUAAUAUCUACAUCAUUUAAUCAAUCUAAGUCUGAAAUUCAACAAGACCAAAUUGACCAGGUAAGUAGGUGGGAGGCUCUCUGUAGCUUUUCUAGACACCAACAGAGUUGGCCAGGCC